UGGUUUGCAGAUAAGAUCAUAUCUGAGUAGCUGACGAGAGUUGCGAUGUUAUGUUCGGAGAUUUAUUAUUUAUUUUGUUAUUUGAAAGUAUUUCGAUUUGGUAUUUGAUGAGUCGAUAUUUUAUUGAUUUCACUUAGCUUAUUGUACCGAAUUUAAUCAGGGAAUUGUGUUUAAUUGUUCGGUAUUUUCUCGUUUUUCCUAAUUAUGCUUAAUUUGAUCGGAAAUUCUAAUUUUAAUUAAUUUGAAUUUUCUGAGCUAAUUAUUUGCAUUAUUAUUUUCAGGAAAAUUUUUGAAAACACAAUUUGGGACAUUUGGAGGAGACAAAAUAAAUUCAAGACUCUCAGAUUAGACAUUUUAAAUUUUAGUUAUCUUGUAAUUUAAUUGUUUAAACUUUUUUGACAACUUUUGCACAUUGGGCCAUUAAAAAUAUGAGGGCAUUUUCGCAUUCAUUACAAGGAGCAGCAAGGGAUUGGCUUUAUGGUCUUCCUCCAGGAUCCAUCACUUCUUGGGAAGAUCUUAAGCAUAUGUUCUUGGACGAAUUCUUCCCAGCUCAGUAUGGUUACAACAACAAUCUUGGGUGGAAUGAUCCUAACAUGGGAUGACAUGGUACUCCACAACGUCAAUAUCAAGAACCAUCAUUCCAGACUCCUUGUAUGCCUUCUCCACCUGUCCAUGAACCACAACAACUACAGUUUCAUGAGUCUGCCCAAGCAAUUCCUCAUCUUUCCACUACUUCUGAGCCUACACUGAAGGAGUUAUUGGAGCAGAUGACUAUUCUGAACAUUCAGUUCCGGCGAGAGAACAUGGAGUUUCAGCAGGAGACCAGAGCUUCCAUUCAGAGUUUGACUGAUCAGAUGGGGCAGAUGGCCACUCAGAUCACUGAGGAAUAAUCUUAUGUUUUAGAGGGAUCACCAUUUCAGAUUGUUCAACUUCCGGAUGAUGUUGGUGCCAUCCACAUGGGAGAGGGGGAACAGAGUCAUCAGCUUACUACAACGCCAUCUACUUUCCCACUGAUGGGUGUCGCGGCCCAUACAAAUUUGAUUGCAUAUUAGAAAUGCAGUAUAAUGUUAGGAAGUGUGACUCCUAGGUCGUCUCUCAAGGACCAAAUGUGGUUCGAGAAUUAAGUCAGACACGCAGUGGGGGGUUGUGAAAUUGGUUUUGUUUGUGAAUGCAACUAACGAAAUUAAAAAUAAAAAUUAAACACAUUCGAACAUCAUAAAAAGCGUUAAAGAGAGUAAAAAUGAUAAACCCAAUACUAGACUAAACAAAUAUCUAAACAUAGUUAAAUUAAAUUAAAUACAAAACUAAAUUAAAGAAAUUAAAAACAACUCAACCUACAUUUCAAACUAAUUUAAAAUAAAAGAAAAUAAAAANACAUAAAGUUUAUCUAAAACCUAAACUAAUUUAAAAUAAAAGAAAAUAAAAAAAAACAUAAAGUUUAUCUAAAACCUAAACUAAUUUAAAAUAAAAGAAAAAAAAA
Molecule: long non-coding RNA, 1480 nt
Filed under: Vigna radiata
Lineage: Eukaryota; Viridiplantae; Streptophyta; Magnoliopsida; Fabales; Fabaceae
Description: long non-coding RNA (VRAD_LNC013212)
Source: RNAcentral